AUUGAACGCUGGCGGAAUGCUUUACACAUGCAAGUCGAACGGCAGCACGGACUUCGGUCUGGUGGCGAGUGGCGAACGGGUGAGUAAUGUAUCGGAACGUGCCCAGUCGUGGGGGAUAACGUAGUGAAAAUUUCGAUAAUACCGCAUACGAUCUAUGGAUGAAAGCGGGGGAUCGCAAGCCCUCGCGGGAUUGGAGCGGCCGAUAUCGGAUUAGGUAGUUGGUGGGGUAAAGGCCCACCAAGCCAACGAUCUGUAGCUGGUCUGAGAGGACGACCAGCCACACUGGAACUGAGACACGGUCCAGACUCCCACGGGAGGCAGCAGUGGAGAAUUUUGGACAAUGGGCGAAAGCCUGAUCCAGCCAUUCCGCGUGCAGGAUGAAGGCCCUCGGGUUGUAAACUGCUUUUGUACAGAACGAAAAGGUUUCUACUAAUACUAGGAGCUCAUGACGGUACUGUAAGAAUAAGCACCGGCUAACUACGUGCCAGCCGCCGCAGUAA
RNAcentral lists this ribosomal RNA (500 nucleotides) under uncultured bacterium. RNAcentral's name for it is "partial 16S ribosomal RNA". It matches the Rfam family "Bacterial small subunit ribosomal RNA", at positions 30 to 523 of the family's 1533-position model. The record is from RNAcentral.